UGUCAGGCUCAUGCGGUGAAAAUGGGAGAAAGCCACACACACCAUCUGCUAUUGUUAUUGGUGGUGGGUUUACAGGUCUUGCUGCUGCUGAUGCGCUCAGAAAUGCAUCCUUCCAGGUUAUUCUUCUGGAAUCUCGUGAUAGAAUUGGUGGCAGAGUUCACACUGACUACUCUUUUGGGUUUCCAGUCGAUUUGGGAGCAUCUUGGCUUCAUGGCGUCUGUGAAGAAAAUCCCUUGGCACCAAUAAUUGGAAGGCUUGGACUUCCACUGUACCGCACAAGUGGAGACGAUUCUGUGCUGUUUGAUCAUGAUCUGGAGAGCUAUGCACUCUAUGACACUAAUGGACGUCAAGUACCACAGGAGUUGGUAGAAAAGAUUGGGAAGGUGUUUGAGACCAUACUGGAAGAGGUAUUCCCCCCUUUCAAUUAGUGGUGUGUCAGUGCCUGUUGAUUUUAGGUAGUUUCUAUUAUUUGAUUUACCCACAACACUUCUGUGCACAGACUAGCAAAUUGAGGGAAGGAACCAAUGAAGAUAUGUCUAUCGCAAAAGCCAUUGCAAUUGUUAUGGAUAGAAAUCCACAGUUGAGGCAAGAAGGGAUUGCUCAUGAAGUUCUUCAGUGGUAUUUGUGCCGUAUGGAGGGUUGGUUUGCCACUGACGCAGAUUCAAUUUCACUACAGGGCUGUGAUCAGGUAUGUUUCUUUUUCUUACAAUCUGGCCAGUAUACUUGCACAUUGUGAAAUUAUUGUGCCUUAUGCAUGAUAAUGUUGAUGGGAUGCAGGAGGUGCUGCUUCCAGGUGGCCAUGGCCUCAUGGUUCGUGGAUAUCGUCCAGUUAUAAAUACUCUUGCAAGAGGCUUAGAUAUACGUCUCAACCAU
Molecule: RNA transcript, 873 nt
Organism: Zea mays
Lineage: Eukaryota; Viridiplantae; Streptophyta; Magnoliopsida; Poales; Poaceae
Gene name: polyamine oxidase pseudogene
Exons: 5
Source: RefSeq, marked validated